Strigops habroptila (Kakapo) is the source of this 3966-nucleotide long non-coding RNA. RefSeq lists it as uncharacterized. The record is from RefSeq and is a predicted model, not a curated record. Lineage: Eukaryota; Metazoa; Chordata; Aves; Psittaciformes; Psittacidae. The transcript has 2 exons.
GGCUCAGGGGCUCUGACAACUCUCCUUAGAAAUUACUUUGCUCCACCUCCCACUGGCCUCACUGGCACCCAUAUUAACAUUGUGUACCCAUCAUUUCCCACUAAACCAGCUUAAUACAGGGAGCUUGUUUCUCCACCCUCCUACUGUAAGCACCUGUGUGGCCACUAUGGAACAUCCUCAGCUAACCUGUACCAUCUCCAACUACGCUUUCAUUGCUUUCAAUGUUUUCACAUUUUCCUAUCUGGGCUCAGCGCCCUUCCAAAUUGCCAGCCUGACACCACCCAUGCUGAUUUAUGUUCCCUGAGAAAUGCAAUUGUAACUAUUUCCAUUAAGAGAGCCCUCAAAACCGUAAAUGGCUCCAAAGUUGUGAAGAAUGCCCCAGUCUGGGACUGCAAUGCUCCUGGCUCCCUAAAAAUUGCCCAUUAUAUUUUCCUGAAUUUGGAUGUACCCGAUGCUUCAGCUAGAAUGGUGGUUUUGAUUCCAGCAUGUGCAUGUGUGCAAGACGCGCUAUCUGCUUAUCUUGACAUGGUGUCCACACUUUCAGACUCUACCAGGAUUUCUUUCUCUCGCUAAGGUUUCUUCUGAGGUAAGUGCCUCAAACCAAACUCCUGUUUCUUCCUAUAUUUGCUUAUCCACUCACAAGCUCUCCAGAGCCCAGGAUACUAUUGGUGUUUAUUUUGGGCUUGUUCAGGGUUUUGCUAGCAAAGAGAGCAGAAUUGGUGCAUGGUUCUUAGGACAACACACUUUAUUUCAGACACAAGCAAACCCUAGCUCGCACUUAGCAUGUGCAAGCCUCUGUGCAGCAUUCACCUACGGAGGUAUAUAAAGGGUAAUGAUAAUGUUGCCCAGAAGGCUAACACAUCAAAGGCCAAGGAGCAGUUAAAAUGUAUUACGAGCUGUUGGCAGUGAUUGUGGGGGGUAUUCAUGUAUUGCUGGUUUGGGCGGCCCGAGUAAAUGAAAACCCUCUGGAUUAAUUGGUACACCAAAGAGAUCUGGUGGAAAAUGGAGGCUGAGGAAAAUGCCAAACAAGGGAAAAUGCAGAUAGCUGGGUGUGCUGACCUGUGGCAGGGCGAUGCCUGUGGCUCCCUCCUGUGCCCUGGGAAGCUCAGCAGAGCUGGGGGUGCCCCUCCAGCGGCUUGCCUGGUGCUUUGGUGGGAGCAGGCUGAGCCCCACGGGCAGCAUCUGCAGCGCUGCUAUUGCAGCACAGCUGAGGGGGUAGUUAGAGGUGAGACUUACCAGGUCUCGUGACACCUGGACACCACGGGACAAGAGUUUAAUUAUUUUUAACGAUGUGGGGGCUGGGGGAGGGAGACGAGGCCGUGUGGUGCCUGGUGUCACAGAGCAACUGAAGCUGGGAACUUCAAAACCCAUUUGCACAGAGAACCCUGCCUGAAUCAGAUGACAAGCAACAUGGUGAAUAUUGAAUGAUACGAUCCCAUCUUUUACUAGGAUACUCUUAUUCCAACUACUACUAUGUGUUUUAUUACUAAUACUUCAAUUAUGCACAAACAGCAUCCAAGCGUUACAGUGACAGCCAUACAAACACCAAUCACACUGGCUCAUUCACAUGCUAAAUGACCGGCUGGAGCAGAACCACCACCUCUCAACACAGCACGGCCACACCAGGUAAGUCAUGCCCUUGCAGACCACCUGACUGGUGAUCAGGGGCAGGGUACCUGUGCUGAUGGCAGCAAGCAACUGGCCCUGACCUGGAGGUCUUUCACCCAUCCACCCUGGGGCUGCAAGGGCAGAGAGUCCAUGUCUUCUCUGAGAGCAGCAACUGGGUUCACCAGUGGGUUUCCGAAAGAAUUUCCUCAAUGUCAACCUGCCACAACUUGUGCUUGUAUCAGUGAUCUCUCAACUGGACAUCACAUGGAUGAUACCAUCAGACUUGAAGACUCCUUGUUGCAGGAAGAAAAGCACAGAAGGUGGUGUGCUUCUGGUCACCUCACGUUUUUCAAGAUCACUUUCUCCUUGCAUUAACUGUUCGGUGCAUGGAAGCAGGGAAGUAAGAGGCUGCUCAAACUGGUAGGUUCUCCUGGCCACGUGUCCUUCUCCUGACAGAUGUGUGAGUGUGAGGGGCAUGGAAGGUAAACCAACAUGUAGUGGGGGCAAAUUCCAGAGGGGCCUUUCUUUGUUCUUUCCAUGAAUAUACUUAAGAGAAUAUUAUGCGAGUAAAGAGUCAGCAGAAAGACAGAGAAGUGCAAUGCUGCAUGCAGCGGUACCUCUGCAGGUAGGACCGCUCAUCUCAAAAGCUUGACUCUUGCUGACCCAAAUCUGAAAGGCCCCUAUCUUGUCUCCCAGCUCAUUGUCACAAAUGAUUUAAAGCAUGGCUCAGCUCUGCAGCCUCUGUCACUACUCAUCCCACUGUCCUUCUGCUGGCAAUCUCCUUCCUUCCAUGGGUGUCACAGGAAAAGCCUUGUUUUCUGUUUGUGCCAAGGAGCGUUGUAGCAGGGUGGGAGAAGCAGCAAUCUUCCACACUUUUUUCAUAUAGCGAGAGCGUAAGAAUGAACAUCACCAACUUAUUUCUGGCACGUUCCUGAAAAAUUCUUGCUUCUCCCAUAUAGCUGAGAUAUUUAUAAAGAUUCUGUUUUCAGUCUUAAAGAUAAAGACAAGCAUCAAUUUAAAAAUCUAUUUUUAAAGCAAAUUGCAUUGUAAUUUAAUCUUAAACUGAAGUUUUUAAAGUGCUCUCAUCCUUGAAAAAAAGACACUGUUUCAUUUUUGGUGACUAAUGAUGAAGUGUUUUCUUAGGGUGACUGAACAUAGCACAGAGUCCUAAAUAUAUUUAUUAGCUCAUUAAACAUAAUUAAUUGAAUCUGGUUGCUAACAUUAGCUAUGCCUUUGCAAGUGAAAAGUACUUUUGGUUUGCUAGACAGUUUCUUAUCAAAGAACAAAAAUGCAACACUAAAACAUAUGCAGCUUACUGAAUAAUCACGCUAUUUGUCAGACAAGCAGAAGAAUCAUCACUGAAGUGCUCCCAAAGUGCCAGAUUGGGUAAUAUACAUAAUUAGGCCCCAUUUGAUUAGAUAUGUGCCUAUGGUAACAGCCACACUCGUGAUCCACACAUUAGUACAGCCUUGAAAUAGUUUUCAAGGGGGAUGAUGGCAACAGAGCACAUCCAAAGCUUCACUGGGGAGAUUUUUGGAACACAACCUAUAUGCUGAUUUCCUCUGUUCCUGUGGUUAUUCUUUAUUUUAUCUUAUUAUCUUUUAUUCUUGAAAAAAUGCAUGCCUUGGUUCUCAAGGGUGAUAUACUGCUUCCACGAAAUGUCACUACACUUUUAUCCCUAAAAGGAAGGUCUCUUUAUCAUCUGAAUCACAUUUUAAGGCAUAAAACCUUCCUAUAUUUAGGGAUGCAUCCUAGCAAUUGGCAAGGCUGCUGCAAGCUGUUCCUAGGAGGUGGGAACAAUCAUCACCUGGAAGCCAGCCCAUCUCAGAUCCACUCUCCUCCCACAGCCCAGGACAGCCUGGUGAUGGAUAAGGCCUUCUGGAUGUUCUUUUAGGCUUUUGCAGGAGCUUCAUGAAACGACUGCAAGGUCUCAGCGGGAAGACUAAUUUUGCAUCAGAUCCAAGCCUCUGAGAGAGCCUGCAAGUGCUGAGCUACUGCCAACCCACAGGGAGUAAGUCCGGAGGGUACUGUUUGGGUAACAGUGGAGCCCAAGAGAGUUUGUUUAGCUGUAGAUGCAACAUGAAUUGUUCCUGUCAUUUAUUUUUACAUCCUUACAGGGUGGAUGAGUUUGGAAGAGUUGGAGAGAAUCAGAGAAUUAGCAGAAUGAAUUAUUAUUAGGGGUUAUUUAUACAAAAUGAGAGAAAUACAUCUCCUGGUGCAACACUCUAUGCCCAGGGCUGAUGAGAGUUGUUGCUUUUGCAAUAAUGCCUACUGGAAAAUAUUUUCAAGAAGCUUUUUCCCCCAAUAAGGAAGAGACCAAGACCCAGAAAAGUUCUGCCAGAUGAAGGCACCAGUGAA